ACAAUAGAUUUUGGAUUGUCGGUCUACCGAGCAAUUACACCCGCCCGGGGGAAGAUCUUACCUUUGUCGC
This 70-nucleotide microRNA precursor is filed under the name Bombyx mori (domestic silkworm). RNAcentral's name for it is "mir-2774 microRNA precursor family". It matches the Rfam family "mir-2774 microRNA precursor family". Lineage: Eukaryota; Metazoa; Arthropoda; Insecta; Lepidoptera; Bombycidae. The record is from Rfam by way of RNAcentral.